This is a long non-coding RNA of Zingiber officinale, 787 nucleotides long. RefSeq lists it as uncharacterized. The transcript is spliced from 4 exons. The record is from RefSeq and is a predicted model, not a curated record. Lineage: Eukaryota; Viridiplantae; Streptophyta; Magnoliopsida; Zingiberales; Zingiberaceae.
CUCCCACACCGCCAAACCUCUCUUCCCUGAGCCCUCACGCGACACCAUCCUCCUUCACCGAACCCUCCGCCCCAAAUCCACCGCCGGCCUCUCUUCUCUCCCGAGCCACAGCCGCCGGUCUCUCCAUCCUUUCCUCCUUCUCGAGCCUCGCGAUUCUCCUCACCAAACCGCCGCCUCUAUCCUCAGCACGGGAUCACACCGACGUUGCUCAUACCAGUGUUGGUCGAGCCUUCUUCCCUCUUCUCCUCGCGAGUUCUCGCAAGCACAGCCGCCGAUCACUCACCCUCACGCGAGCACCACAACCGGCUCAGCGACUGAUCGCGCCGGCGCUGCUCAUCAUGGUGCCGGCCGAAACCUAGGUUGGGAGUGAACGACUCUCCCGACGGUUGCUUCUCCCUUCCGUUCUUUGAUAUCGAGACACCACCGUCGAUCCUAUCUUCGCUGGUCUCCAUAGUCGUCGUGGGUCUCCACAGCUGCUAGACCUAGUUUCUGGUCAUGGAGGAAGUUGUGGACCCUAGGAUAUGUAGCUCCAUAGCAGCACAUACCAUGGGUCUUCGGCAGGAGCUAACAUCCAGCAACCACUCUUCCCAGCCGCAAGCCAACAAGGGAAGACCUCAUCAUAAAGGUUUACCGAAUUGGGAGAUCAGCAUUUCAACCUAGCUCCGACCAUGAUUUUGAUAGCAAGUUCUUCAGCUGAGAGUCCUAUAGCAGGACAUCCAGAUCUAGGACGUUGAUUCGAGACGAGCGUCUCGACGCGAGACUACUUGACACGAUCUAUGUAUAAAGG